Molecule: ribosomal RNA, 484 nt
Filed under: uncultured bacterium
Lineage: Bacteria
Description: partial 16S ribosomal RNA
Rfam family: Bacterial small subunit ribosomal RNA
Source: RNAcentral
AGUGAACGCUGGCGGCGUGCUUAACACAUGCAAGUCGAACGAGAACGGGUUAUAGCUUGCUAUAAUUGUCAGCUAAGUGGCGCACGGGUGAGUAAUGUAUAGGUAAUAUGCCUCUUACUAAGGGAUAACAAAUGGAAACGUUUGCUAAUACCUUAUACUCCUUAUUAACAGAAGUUAAUAAGGUAAAGAUUUAUUGGUAAGAGAUUAGCCUGUAUUGUAUCAGUUAGUUGGUGGGGUAAUGGCUUACCAAGACUAUGACACAUAACUGGUUUGAGAGGAUGAUCAGUCACACUGGAACUGAGACACGGUCCAGACUCCUACGGGAGGCAGCAGUGGGGAAUAUUGCACAAUGGACGGAAGUCUGAUGCAGCAACGCCGCGUGGAGGAUGACACAUUUCGGUGCGUAAACUCCUUUUAUAUGAGAAGAUAAUGACGGUAUUAUAUGAAUAAGCACCGGCUAACUCCGUGCCAGCAGCCGCCGUAA